RNAcentral lists this ribosomal RNA (253 nucleotides) under uncultured bacterium. RNAcentral describes it as "partial 16S ribosomal RNA". It matches the Rfam family "Bacterial small subunit ribosomal RNA", at positions 524 to 776 of the family's 1533-position model. The record is from RNAcentral.
UACGUAGGUGGCGACCGUUAUCCGGAGUGACUGGGUGUAAAGGGUCCGUAGGCGGGAAGGCAAGUCUGACGUGAAAGCGCCCGGCUCAACUGGGCGAGUGCGUUGGAAACUGCUUUUCUUGACUCACGCAGAGGUCGGCGGAAUUCCCGGUGUAGUGGUGGAAUGCGUAGAGAUCGGGAGGAACCUCGAAAGCGAAGGCAGCCGACUGGGGGAUGAGUGACGCUGAGGGACGAAAGCGUGGGGAGCGAACAGG